GUACGGAAGGCAGCAGUGAGGAAUAUUGUGCAAUGGGCGAAAGCCUGACACAGCGACGCCGCGUGGGCGAUGAAGGCCUUCGGGUCGUAAAGCCCUUUUGUCAGGGACGAGUGAGGACGGUACCUGGCGAAUAAGUCUCGGCUAACUACGUGCCAGCAGCCGCGGUAAAACGUAGGAGGCGAGCGUUAUCCGGAUUCACUGGGCGUAAAGCGCGCGUAGGCGGUUAGGUAAGUCGGACGUGAAAGCCCCUGGCUCAACUGGGGGAGGCCGUUCGAUACUGCCUGGCUUGAGGGUGAGAGAGGAGAGUGGAAUUCCCGGUGUAGCGGUGGAAUGCGUAGAUAUCGGGAGGAACACCAGUGGCGAAGGCGACUCUCUGGCUCACUCCUGACGCUGAUAGCGCGAAAGCGUGGGGAGCAAACGGGAUUAGAUACCCCGGUAGC
This 440-nucleotide ribosomal RNA is filed under the name uncultured bacterium. RNAcentral describes it as "bacterial SSU rRNA". It matches the Rfam family "Bacterial small subunit ribosomal RNA", at positions 339 to 794 of the family's 1533-position model. The record is from RNAcentral.